This 440-nucleotide ribosomal RNA is filed under the name uncultured bacterium. Its description in RNAcentral is "partial 16S ribosomal RNA". It matches the Rfam family "Bacterial small subunit ribosomal RNA", at positions 338 to 795 of the family's 1533-position model. The record is from RNAcentral.
CCUACGGGGGGCAGCAGUGGGGGAUAUUGCACAAUGGGGGGAACCCUGAUGCAGCGACGCCGCGUGGGUGAAGAAGCGCCUCGGCGCGUAAAGCCCUGUCAGCAGGGAAGAAAAUGACGGUACCUGAAGAAUAAGUCCCGGCUAACUACGUGCCAGCAGCCGCGGUAAUACGUAGGGGGCAAGCGUUACUCGGCUUUACUGGGUGUAAAGAGGGCGCAGACGGCGAUGCAAGUCAGGAGUGAAAGCCCGUGGCCCAACCACGGGACUGCUCUUGGAACUGCGUGGCUAGAGUGCAGGAGGGGCAGGCGGAAUUCUUGGUGUAGCGGUGAAAUCCGUAGAUAUCAGGAGGAACACCGGUGGCGAAGGCGACCUGCUGGACUGCAACUGACGUUGAGGCCCGAAAGCGUGGGGAGCAAACAGGAUUAGAUACCCUUGUAGUC